This 253-nucleotide ribosomal RNA is filed under the name uncultured bacterium. RNAcentral's name for it is "partial 16S ribosomal RNA". It matches the Rfam family "Bacterial small subunit ribosomal RNA", at positions 524 to 776 of the family's 1533-position model. The record is from RNAcentral.
UACGUAGGUGACAAGCGUUGUCCGGAUUUACUGGGCGUAAAGAGCGCGCAGGCGGUCGAUCAAGUCGAGUGUGAAAGCCCCCGGCUCAACUGGGGAGGGUCAUUCGAUACUGAUCGACUCGAAGGCAGGAGAGGGUAGUGGAAUUCCCGGUGUAGUGGUGAAAUGCGUAGAUAUCGUCUGGAACGCCAAAGGUGAAAACAGACUGCUGGGAGUGUGCUGACGCUGAGACACGAAAGCCAGGGGAGCAAACGGG